ACUCAAAGGAAUAGACGGGGACCCGCACAAGCGGUGGAACACGUGGUUUAAUUCGAUAACAAGCGAAGAACCUUACCUGGGCUUGACAUCUCUGGAAUCUCCAAGAAACUGGAGAGUGCCUUCGGGAGCCAGAUGACAGGUGCUGCACGGUCGUCGUCAGCUCGUGCUGUGAAGUGUCCCGUUAAGUCGGUUAACGAGCGCAACCCUUGUCGUAUGUUAAAUUUCUCAUACGAGACUGCCGGUGUUAAAUCGGAGGAAGGUGGGGAUGACGUCAGAUCAGCGUGGCCCUUACGUCCAGGGCGACACACAUGUUACAAUGGGGAGCAACAAAGGGCUGCUAAACCGCAAGGUGGAGCUAAUCCCAUCAAACCUCCCCUCAGUUCGGAUUGAGGGCUGCAACUCGCCCUCAUGAAGUCGGAAUCGCUAGUAACCGUGGGUCAGCCACACCACGGUGAAUACGUUCUCGGGUCUUGUACACACCGCCCGU
This 487-nucleotide ribosomal RNA is filed under the name uncultured bacterium. Its description in RNAcentral is "partial 16S ribosomal RNA". It matches the Rfam family "Bacterial small subunit ribosomal RNA", at positions 899 to 1397 of the family's 1533-position model. The record is from RNAcentral.